This is a long non-coding RNA of Clupea harengus (Atlantic herring), 520 nucleotides long. RefSeq lists it as uncharacterized. The record is from RefSeq and is a predicted model, not a curated record. NCBI's taxonomy places the organism in Eukaryota, Metazoa, Chordata, Actinopteri, Clupeiformes, Clupeidae.
UGCGACUGGUGACGAAGAGCACACCACCUUGCGUAUAAACGUCAUAUCGUUCGCUGCCCUGCACCUCACUGGUCACGGUUCGCGGAAGGUGACUCACACCCUCUGCACGGAGUUGUUCCGUGAAGUAUUCCUGAAAAGAAUUGGUAUCGUUACAAGAGCACCUUAUACGUUUUAAGAUCAUGGAUAAAACCCCUGAAGAGGUUGAGUUUGUGGCCAAACAGGAAUAUAGGAGUCAGCAGUGGACCAUACCUCGUUUCCUCUACCUUCACAGAGACUGACUGCCUCAUCUUUUGAUGCCGCAGUGAUUGACACAUGCAAAGCCUAGCGGAGCAAGGGGUAAUCACACGUGGUCCAGUGUACACCGUGGGAGUGUCAGAGAGAGAGUGUUCCUGGCAUGGGUGUGUCUUUGAUUUAUGACAUGACAGGCUUAUAGGUAAUUAAGCAUGAUCAAAAAACACCCUGAAAUAAAUUAAAGUAAAUAGUUGUUCUAUUCCUGCCAUCUGCAUCACACAUACAUGAU